This 474-nucleotide ribosomal RNA is filed under the name uncultured bacterium. Its description in RNAcentral is "bacterial SSU rRNA". It matches the Rfam family "Bacterial small subunit ribosomal RNA", at positions 341 to 807 of the family's 1533-position model. The record is from RNAcentral.
ACGGGAGGCAGCAGUGGGGAAUUUUGGACAAUGGGCGCAAGCCUGAUCCAGCUAUUCCGCGUGUGGGAUGAAGGCCCUCGGGUUGUAAACCACUUUUGUAGAGAACGAAAAGACACCUUCGAAUAAAGGGUGUUGCUGACGGUACUCUAAGAAUAAGCACCGGCUAACUACGUGCCAGCAGCCGCGGUAAUACGUAGGGUGCGAGCGUUAAUCGGAAUUACUGGGCGUAAAGGGUGCGCAGGCGGUUGAGUAAGACAGAUGUGAAAUCCCCGAGCUUAACUCGGGAAUGGCAUAUGUGACUGCUCGGCUAGAGUGUGUCAGAGGGAGGUGGAAUUCCACGUGUAGCAGUGAAAUGCGUAGAUAUGUGGAAGAACACCGAUGGCGAAGGCAGCCUCCUGGGACAUAACUGACGCUCAGGCACGAAAGCGUGGGGAGCAAACAGGAUUAGAUACCCUGGUAGUCCACGCCCUAAAC